UGAUAAAAUCUGCACCAGAAAUGUGAAGACGGCAACAUCAAGUGUAUUAACCAAUCUUUGUGAAAUUAGAAGGCAACACAUCAACAAACAUGUCAUGAUUCCGUAGUUCAUAGUACGACGGUAAUAUCAUGAAACUUUGCGACCAGUACUCAUGGCAAUACACAUAAAUCUACCAUGAAGAACAUAACUAGAGUUGCAACCCAAAUAUUAUUUACAGCCCAAGGUAUAACUGAUUAACAGGUACACAUAUAUUGCAGAAACAUAUUCAACUAGGUGUACAAGUUGUAGCAGAAAUCCACACCAAUGGAAGUUUACAUAUCACAUAAACGAAGAAAUUUCUCAUCCAAUCUCUAACGCAGAGUAAAGGAUGCCAUCCCCAUGGGUUGGGUUGUGCUGCAAAAUAUCAAACAACUUCAAGUCAAAAAAUUGCUAAAAUACUCGACAUGUUUUAAUCGACGAGUAGCAAAAUGUGAAAACCAUUUGAGCCGUGAUGGCCGACUUCGUAAAUAGAGCAAUAUAUUGAUGUUGGACAUUCGUGGACGCUACUUGCUCUGCAAACAAGAAAAACACAUUAGGAAAACCUGACAACAGACAUACUAUAUUCAAAUUAUGGUUGGGAAUGUCAUUCCGGUGAAGGAUUCAAAUUCUUGAACUUUAUUUUGCUCGUCAAAUGGCCCCAUCUGCCUCAAGUGUGCAAGAGCAUCACCAAUAACUUGUGAAAGUAUUUCAUCUUGUCAUCACAAUGUUUAGUUGCAUGCAGUGCCAAGCUGAACUGGCAUUAUGUCAUGACAUAUAGCACCAAAAUGCUAAAUCUGUAGGAAUGUAGUGCCAUCUUUUUACACCUGAAUAAGGAAGGCCAACUCAGGAUCAACCAAAGCAGACAUUGGAAUACAUAGACAAGUUGAAGAAAAUGAAGUGCAAACAAACAUCUCUGAUUCUAUAGCUGGCAAACAAGCCACUCCCCAAUUACAAGCAGAGGCUAUGGCCCUUCAGGUUGCUGCAUAAAUAAUUUUGAAAUCCAUAUGCAAGCAGGUCAUUUUUCUGGUAGAUAAUCUGUCACUGGCCAAGGUAGCAGCGCCAAGAAACAUUAUUCCCUGGGCAUUGGGAGAUCAGAAACCAGCUAGCAAUUUUCUUUGCUACAACAGGAAACACGCAAAUACAAAUUUAUCACAUACCAAGGAACUUUAACUUUGUCGCUCACAACCGUGCUUCAGAGGUAAGUAUAUUAUGAGGUAGAGAGCAAAAAAAUUGGCAUGUUGUAGGUUAGCACGUAGAGGUGAUCAGUGUCCAUGCUUUCAAAGCUAGGCAAUCCUGAUGUUAAGGUUGACCGCAAAAAAAAAAAAAAUCCUGAUGUUAAGGAUUGUCAAAUCCUGAAGUAAAAUGUGCUUGAUAGUGAAUAUAAGGCGCUGUUGGUGCUGCCUCUUGUGAUCUUGUCCAAAAACAGAAGGAAGAUCAAAGAGAUAAUACAUUUAAUUAACUAAACCAAGAAUGCCGUACUACUAGUUUCAGUAGAAAUACUGAACAAACAUAUACGGAGCUCUAAAAAAUUAGUGAGGCACAUAUUGCUAAUGUUAAUGGAUCUCGGUCUUGUGCCAACAAGCACUUCAUCAGGUACUUGAACAGGUAGAUAAAUUUACUUUGUACUCGUCUCAGACCAUAUGUCGUUGACAUUUUAUAUACCUAAUUGCUCGAUAGGUAGUCUAAGAAAAAUACAACAAGUUGGUUCUGUGAUUACUUUUCCUGCACCUUCAUACAGAGAGAUAUCAACACAUUUAAAUCUAAUAGCAUUAGCUACAUGCCUACAUCCCACACAUUCAGCAUAAAGGGGAGUAGGGGACGAUGGAUUAGAACCAAAACACACGGUAAAAUACACAAGGUUGUAACAUUCAAAAGGUUACCUGAAGGCUGGAGUUCUCUUCUUUGUCGUCGGCAGAUGGUGGAGCUAGGCGUCGGCGGGCGGAUCUGGCGCCAGGUGUGGGGAUUGGGUGGCGCCAAGGUGGAGAAUGGCGGCGCGGGGAUGGGGCGGGCUGUGCGCUGGAAGUCGGGGCACUGUACGUCAUUACCGUGGCGAGGUCGAUCGCCGGAGGGCCCAGUGCAGCGCACGGCGAGGUCCGCCGCCGGAGCCCUGAAUACCUAUAUAUCUGCUCGUGUCCAAAAUCGGGAGCACUGUUGGAGAAGCAUUGCAG
RNAcentral lists this long non-coding RNA (2186 nucleotides) under Triticum aestivum (bread wheat). RNAcentral describes it as "long non-coding RNA (TAES_LNC013444)". The record is from RNAcentral. Lineage: Eukaryota; Viridiplantae; Streptophyta; Magnoliopsida; Poales; Poaceae.